Molecule: ribosomal RNA, 2920 nt
Filed under: Klebsiella pneumoniae
Lineage: Bacteria; Pseudomonadati; Pseudomonadota; Gammaproteobacteria; Enterobacterales; Enterobacteriaceae
Description: 23S ribosomal RNA
Rfam family: Bacterial large subunit ribosomal RNA
Source: RNAcentral
GGGUUGUGAGGUUAAGCGACUAAGCGUACACGGUGGAUGCCCUGGCAGUCAGAGGCGAUGAAGGACGUGCUAAUCUGCGAAAAGCGUCGGUAAGGUGAUAUGAACCGUUAUAGCCGGCGAUGUCCGAAUGGGGAAACCCAGUGCAAUUCGUUGCACUAUCGUUAACUGAAUACAUAGGUUAACGAGGCGAACCGGGGGAACUGAAACAUCUAAGUACCCCGAGGAAAAGAAAUCAACCGAGAUUCCCCCAGUAGCGGCGAGCGAACGGGGAGCAGCCCAGAGUCUGAAUCAGCUUGUGUGUUAGUGGAACGGUCUGGAAAGUCCGACGGUACAGGGUGAUAGUCCCGUACACCAAAAUGCACAGGUUGUGAACUCGAAGAGUAGGGCGGGACACGUGGUAUCCUGUCUGAAUAUGGGGGACCAUCCUCCAAGGCUAAAUACUCCUGACUGACCGAUAGUGAACCAGUACCGUGAGGGAAAGGCGAAAAGAACCCCGGCGAGGGGAGUGAAAAAGAACCUGAAACCGUGUACGUACAAGCAGUGGGAGCACCUUCGGGUGUGACUGCGUACCUUUUGUAUAAUGGGUCAGCGACUUAUAUUCUGUAGCAAGGUUAACCGUAUAGGGGAGCCGCAGGGAAACCGAGUCUUAACUGGGCGUUAAGUUGCAGGGUAUAGACCCGAAACCCGGUGAUCUAGCCAUGGGCAGGUUGAAGGUUGGGUAACACUAACUGGAGGACCGAACCGACUAAUGUUGAAAAAUUAGCGGAUGACUUGUGGCUGGGGGUGAAAGGCCAAUCAAACCGGGAGAUAGCUGGUUCUCCCGAAAGCUAUUUAGGUAGCGCCUCGUGAACUCAUCUUCGGGGUAGAGCACUGUUUCGGCUAGGGGGUCAUCCCGACUUACCAACCCGAUGCAAACUACGAAUACCGAAGAAUGUUAUCACGGGAGACACACGGCGGGUGCUAACGUCCGUCGUGAAGAGGGAAACAACCCAGACCGCCAGCUAAGGUCCCAAAGUCAUGGUUAAGUGGGAAACGAUGUGGGAAGGCACAGACAGCCAGGAUGUUGGCUUAGAAGCAGCCAUCAUUUAAAGAAAGCGUAAUAGCUCACUGGUCGAGUCGGCCUGCGCGGAAGAUGUAACGGGGCUAAACCAUGCACCGAAGCUGCGGCAGCGACACUAUGUGUUGUUGGGUAGGGGAGCGUUCUGUAAGCCUGCGAAGGUGUGCUGUGAGGCAUGCUGGAGGUAUCAGAAGUGCGAAUGCUGACAUAAGUAACGAUAAAGCGGGUGAAAAGCCCGCUCGCCGGAAGACCAAGGGUUCCUGUCCAACGUUAAUCGGGGCAGGGUGAGUCGACCCCUAAGGCGAGGCCGAAAGGCGUAGUCGAUGGGAAACAGGUUAAUAUUCCUGUACUUGGUGUUACUGCGAAGGGGGGACGGAGAAGGCUAUGUUAGCCGGGCGACGGUUGUCCCGGUUUAAGCAUGUAGGCUGGUUAUCCAGGCAAAUCCGGAUAAUCAAGGCUGAGGUGUGAUGACGAGGCACUACGGUGCUGAAGUAACAAAUGCCCUGCUUCCAGGAAAAGCCUCUAAGCAUCAGGUAACAUCAAAUCGUACCCCAAACCGACACAGGUGGUCAGGUAGAGAAUACCAAGGCGCUUGAGAGAACUCGGGUGAAGGAACUAGGCAAAAUGGUGCCGUAACUUCGGGAGAAGGCACGCUGGUGUGUAGGUGAAGUCCCUGCGGAUGGAGCUGAGACCAGUCGAAGAUACCAGCUGGCUGCAACUGUUUAUUAAAAACACAGCACUGUGCAAACACGAAAGUGGACGUAUACGGUGUGACGCCUGCCCGGUGCCGGAAGGUUAAUUGAUGGGGUUAUCCGUAAGGAGAAGCUCUUGAUCGAAGCCCCGGUAAACGGCGGCCGUAACUAUAACGGUCCUAAGGUAGCGAAAUUCCUUGUCGGGUAAGUUCCGACCUGCACGAAUGGCGUAAUGAUGGCCAGGCUGUCUCCACCCGAGACUCAGUGAAAUUGAACUCGCUGUGAAGAUGCAGUGUACCCGCGGCAAGACGGAAAGACCCCGUGAACCUUUACUAUAGCUUGACACUGAACAUUGAGCCUUGAUGUGUAGGAUAGGUGGGAGGCUUUGAAGCGUGGACGCCAGUCUGCGUGGAGCCAACCUUGAAAUACCACCCUUUAAUGUUUGAUGUUCUAACGUUGGCCCCUUACCGGGGUUGCGGACAGUGUCUGGUGGGUAGUUUGACUGGGGCGGUCUCCUCCCAAAGCGUAACGGAGGAGCACGAAGGUUAGCUAAUCCUGGUCGGACAUCAGGAGGUUAGUGCAAUGGCAUAAGCUAGCUUGACUGCGAGCGUGACGGCGCGAGCAGGUGCGAAAGCAGGUCAUAGUGAUCCGGUGGUUCUGAAUGGAAGGGCCAUCGCUCAACGGAUAAAAGGUACUCCGGGGAUAACAGGCUGAUACCGCCCAAGAGUUCAUAUCGACGGCGGUGUUUGGCACCUCGAUGUCGGCUCAUCACAUCCUGGGGCUGAAGUAGGUCCCAAGGGUAUGGCUGUUCGCCAUUUAAAGUGGUACGCGAGCUGGGUUUAGAACGUCGUGAGACAGUUCGGUCCCUAUCUGCCGUGGGCGCUGGAGAAUUGAGGGGGGCUGCUCCUAGUACGAGAGGACCGGAGUGGACGCAUCACUGGUGUUCGGGUUGUCAUGCCAAUGGCACUGCCCGGUAGCUAAAUGCGGAAGAGAUAAGUGCUGAAAGCAUCUAAGCACGAAACUUGCCCCGAGAUGAGUUCUCCCUGAGACUUUAAGUCUCCUGAAGGAACGUUAAAGACGAUGACGUUGAUAGGCCGGGUGUGUAAGCGCAGCGAUGCGUUGAGCUAACCGGUACUAAUGAACCGUGAGGCUUAACCUUACAACGCCGAAG